RNAcentral lists this long non-coding RNA (459 nucleotides) under Medicago truncatula (barrel medic). RNAcentral describes it as "lncRNA gene5016". The stretch from base 1 to 123 matches the Rfam family "Small nucleolar RNA SNORD14". Lineage: Eukaryota; Viridiplantae; Streptophyta; Magnoliopsida; Fabales; Fabaceae. The record is from RNAcentral.
GACCAAUGAUGAUAAAUCUAAGGCUUGUUUCUCAAAACAUUCGCAGUGGCCGCCUAAGAACUUUCGCCUUUCGCCGGGCUUGAGAGUUAAUGCUGCUAUUUCCUUCCUUGGAUGUCUGAGGUCAAAUUAUUCUCUUGUGAUUUUGUUGAUGUAUGUGUUUACUACUACAAUUGAAACAGAGAAUGUAUUUUGAAUGAGUCAGGAGUUAAUCUAAUUGUUGUUUUGAUUGAUAUAAAAAAUUUGAUGUCAUUGAUUUGAUUCCCUUUUGAUUGCAUAAACAAUCUGUGAUUCACAAUUAUGAUCAACUUUGAUGACAUGUGUUUUACCAAGUCUAUAACUCAAUGAUGAUAAAUCUAAGGCUUGUUUCUCAAAACAUUCGCAGUGGCUGCCUAAUAGCUUUCGCCUUCGCCAGGCUUGAGAGCUAAUGCAGUUACUUUCCUUCCUUGGAUGUCUGAGGUU